UACGGAGGGUGCGAGCGUUGUCCGGAAUCACUGGGCGUAAAGGGCGCGUAGGCGGCCUGAUAAGUAGGGGGUGAAAUCCUGCGGCUUAACCGCAGGGCUGCCUUCUAAACUGUCAGGCUUGAGCACAGUAGAGGCAGGUGGAAUUCCCGGUGUAGCGGUGGAAUGCGUAGAGAUCAGCAGGAACACCCGUGGCGAAGGCGGCUUCCUGGGCCGCGCCUGACGCUGAGACGCGAAAGCGUGGGGAGCGAACGGG
This 253-nucleotide ribosomal RNA is filed under the name uncultured bacterium. Its description in RNAcentral is "partial 16S ribosomal RNA". It matches the Rfam family "Bacterial small subunit ribosomal RNA", at positions 524 to 776 of the family's 1533-position model. The record is from RNAcentral.